Molecule: RNA transcript, 7022 nt
Organism: Macadamia integrifolia
Lineage: Eukaryota; Viridiplantae; Streptophyta; Magnoliopsida; Proteales; Proteaceae
Exons: 5
Source: RefSeq, a predicted model, not a curated record
CCUCCCCCCGACACACACACACACACACACAACCCAAACCAGGGAAAUAAGAUAAGCACAUAAUCAUUUGAUGUUUUAUGUUCCCAUAUGGGAAAUGUGUAGAUAACCUUCUUGUUGAUGUACGCUCACACACCUGGUAAAAUGUCAAAUCUUUUGCUUCUAAUGCAUGUGAAAGAUUUGUGCUACUGUUUAUCCUUUUUUUUUAGAUCUCUUGUACUGCCUUUGCUCGCAUUUAACGUCUUUAUAUUGUCUAUCAUCAGAUGGCUUCUUCAUUUCAUUUAAAAUAUAUAUAUAUAUAUUUAUAUAUAUAAUUUUAUAUAUAUAUUUAUAUAUAUAAUUUUACUAGUUUUAUUGUUUAACAUUUUGCUUCGUUUUGUUUACUGAUUGAGGGCAGAUCACAUCGACCAAUAGUGCAUUGCCAUGUCUAUAUUUCUACAUAAGGGUUGUUUUAUUGUUUGCUCUAUGUAAUGCUCCUUGGUUGGAGAGAAACUGGAUCUGAGAGCAAAAACCAAAGAUUAAACUGCACUAACCAGUGAAGAAUUAAGGAAUUUAAUCUCACAGGAGAGGAAUCCGGACUCCGGAGGAACCCACAUUUUGGACUUGCUGAAAUUUUUCUUCUCUUCUGUUGACAAGUCAUUUUUUUGGCCAGUGUGUCCUGGACACUUCAAUUUUUGAAGCCAUACAUGUCCAGCACUUUGUAAGCCAAUAAGAAUUCAAGAAAUGGAAUCUCUGCUGCCCUUGAGUUAUAUCCAUUUUUGUGUCUGGGCAAGUCCUUUUGGCAGCACCUGGGGGGGUUCCUAACAUUUUAUUUAUGCGGACAUUCAAUUGCUUGGUGUUUCAGUUGUUUCUAACUUGGGAAUUAUCUUAAUCUUCGCUUCUUGAAUUCUUGUGUAUGUUACUAAGAGUUAAAUCAUAGGGAUCAGCGGAGGAGACAUAGAUUGUGUGCAAAUUUUAGCAGGAGACUUGAUUUUUCAUCUUUGAAUUGAAGCACCUAGACACAAGGUGAGAUUCCCUUUUUGGGUAGGCAUCAUCUUGAUAGCCAUGAUUAGCUUACUGUAUGCUUUUACAUGGAUCUCUUAGGAUGUUUGUUUCCCAGGCACGUCAAAAUUCGAGCCACAACUGUAUAUCUGACAAGUGUGGACACCAGCACCGACUCUUUUAUCAAUGCUAACACGUUAAAAUUUUUCUACAGAGAGAGAGAAAUUACUUAGGUGCACACUCAACUUUGACUGAAAAUCAUAUUGAUAAUCGAGGGCGACACUAAUAACUUAGUUGUAGACAUCUCUUUACUCUCUCUUUCUCUUUCCCCCAUAUUUUGUGAUUUUCAUUUUUCUAAUCCUAUAUCUUCCUAAUUAAUUGGGGAUAAAUUAUUUAUUUUGUCUCAUAAAUUAUGUUCUUAAUCCAUUUCAUUCAUAUUUUUUUACUUCAUUUGUCUUGUCCACUCACAUUAGUUAUGUUUAUUGGGUUCGGCAAAUUCAACUUUUGACCUGGCUAUCUUACUGAUAAACAUUUGCUGGAAUUGAAUGUAAGAAACCAGCCAAUUAAGUGUUUUUUGGUUUAAUCUUGUAAUUAGAUAAAUUGAAGCUGGUUCCUGCUCAUGAAAAAUUCAAAUGCACCAUCUUGUUCUCUUUGGGUAGCAUUCCUGGGAAGUCUCCUUGCAUGAUUCUUUUGUCUUCCUAGUGAAAUAUAACAGGGGUUAAAGAAGUGGAUACCCCACGGACUUGGGAGGUCCAACCCAAAGCUUAAAUUGUUAGGUGGAGAUGGCCCAAGGGUAUAUGAAAACACUCGAGGUCCCAGACUUGACCGAUGUGGGACUAUUCCCAACACUCACCCUCAUGUUUAGCUGGAAUUGGCGUGUGGAUGGACAAUGUAGGGAGGACAAAGUGAUGCUUUGAUACCAUGUUAAAAAAGUGGGAUAGCACAUGAACUUGGGGUGUUUAACCCAAAAGCUUAAGCCUAUUAAGUGGAGAUGGUACAAGGGUAUAUAAAGACAUCCAAGGUCCCAAACUUAACUGAUGUCGGACUAUUCCCAACAUCAGUCAUAUAUUGCAUAUUCAGUCCAGCUCCUUAGUCUAUUUAUGUCCAAACCAAGACAGCCACACAUGGAUGCAGCUACUCAAGUACUUCUCUACAUUAAACAAAAUCCAGGUCAAGGGGUUUUAUUAUCUUUAAGUCAGCCACAAGCUUACCAUGAUUCAGAUUGGGCAUCUUGCCAAGGAGUAACGAAAAUCAAUUACUGACUAUUCUAUGAUGUUGAGAAAAUCACUUAUUUCAUGGAAAUCUAAGAAACAAAGUAUUGUUUCCCGAUCAUCCACUGAAGCUGAAUAUCAAGCAAUGGUCAGCACUUGUUGUGAACUUACAUGGCUAUCAUAUUUCCUUCAAGAUCUACAAUUGCCCCUUCAUCAACCGACACAAUUAUUUUGCAACGACAAGGCAGCUCUUCAUAUUGUGGCAGACUCAAUUUUUCACGAACCAAAACAUGUCGAAAUUGGUUGCCAUAUUGUUCGUAAGCAAAUGCUGCGUGGUUUGGUUCUAACUGCACAGAUUUUUACUACACCAACAACCAUCUGAUGUCUUUUCCAAGGCUCUUAGUGCUUCACAGUUUUGCUACUCUUUGGCAAGUUGGGUGUUUCUGAUAUCUAAAUUCUCCACACUCCAACAUGAGGGGGAGUAGUAAAGAAGGUGCAAGUAAGGCAAUAAAAGGAGCUAACGGCUAGUUGAUUGAAAUAAUGGCUGAAGGCUUGUGUAUAACAGAUCUUGAUUGGAUAUCUCAUCCAAAUCUUUUCUAUGUAUUACAAUGUGUUUUUCCUUGUAUAUUCUUUCCUCAUUUAUUGCCUAUAGUAUUGUAACAAUAUAUAUGUUGACUCUCAGAAUAAUGGAUACAUAUCAAGCAAUAUUCAAAGUUAGUCUGUGUAUUUGAUAGGGGUAUCUUCCAAGUCUUUCUUGUUAGUUGUCAAUCUUUUCGUAGCGGAAUAAUAGUAUGUGUUUUAGGUUUGCCUUACGUUGUAUCUUCUCAUAUGAAUUUUCCAGUCUCAUGGACAAGACAAUUGCUUUAUGUAUAUUUCCAUAUCUAAGCCUAUUGUCUCCUCUGAUAAUGGUGUAAUCCCAUAUGCAGACAGUCACAGGUGACGAAUUAUUCAUUGGAUUUAUGGCACUGCAAGGCUUUCUUCUGCAAUUGAUUUGACAACGAAGGGGAUUCUUCAGGCUUAUUGGCCCUUCCCAUCUAUUCACAUUAUGGAGGUGGGGGAUUUUCUUUCCUCUGUCUUUUUCGGAGUGGUUGAGGUUGGGUUUUCCUGUAAGGGGUGGUACCCUAAACAUCUUUUAUUGAUGUGCUGUCACUUUGUAUCUCUGUCACACAAGGAAGCAUGCAAUGGGAAGGAAGCAGCUCUAGCUUCUGUCCGGCCAAUCAUUACAAAGAAAUUAAGUGUUGGGAGAUUGUUGGAAAAUAAGUGGAUCCUAAAUCACUCUCUAAAAUUUGGGAUUUUCAAAGAGGAUGCUUAUUGUGGGACUGAGGGAGUAGUAUAUAAGAGUUCCAUAUUAUGGUUUCUCUCUCUCUCUCUCCCUCCCCAUUAUAGUUUAUGAUUCUGAGUCCUUGAACUGCAACUGUGGGAUUCCCCAAACAUGACUUCCAAACUGGGGCUGAGUUCCAAUACAUGUAACUGCAAAUGAGCAGACCUUUGAUGCAAGGAAAACGACUGCCUUGGACACCUAGGCAUCAACUUGUGGUCUUGUCAUAAUACACAUUAUAUGAUAUUGAUUUUUUGACAUUUCACGAGUUUACGUUGAUUUAUAUUUAUUGCUUUGUUUUUUGAUGGAUAGGCUUAUAAUAUAUCUUAUGCUUUAUCUAUUAUAUGUUGGUUUUCUCAUAUUAUGUCACAUAUAAGUAUAACUAUGUAAAUUUAUCAUUUGUAUAUUACAUAUACUGCACACCUAGGGCACCUUGUUGCCUUGGCACCUCUCCAACGCCUUGGGUCACGUAAUCGCCUUGACAACUAUGGGUGCUAAUGAAAGUAAGAUAGUAUAAUUAAAGAAUAUAAAGUUAUUAUUCUAUAAUAUCACAACAUAGUCAUGAAUUGAUAAAUCCCAAUUUUUUGAGUUUCACAAGAGUCUGGCUUUUCAGAUUCCUGUUUGAUUGCACCAGUAAUACUGGAUGGUCAUGGAAAGGAGUAUACCUAAGAAUGAGAGGUUUGGGGGAUGUGCAGUUUGGUAUGCUUCUUCUUCAAAGCAUGUCAGUGGUUUAAUUGUUAGCUGGUAAAGUUGGAUCCUGAAACCAAAGAGUCUUUGCCAACUUUGCAAGGUUCAUCGUAAAAUAUUGCUUUCGAAGUAGGAUGUCAGGUUGGAUAAAAAUUGACCCAAUUUUGCAACCCAGCUCUAUGGUUUGAUCUUCAGAAGUUUUACCUGAUAUACUGACAGAUUAAAGAAUUUAAGUUCAGUCGGAUGCUGUUCCUUGGUUUUAAAAUUUUGGAAACAUGGUUCAUGACAAACAUGUUGGGGUAUAAUGUUUUGUAUUCUGUCACUUGCUUUUGUGGCUGACUCUGAAGGGCUCUUAAGAGGUCAUAGAGACCGAAGGGCCCUAUGCCCGAAAUUGUUCAGUAAACUGUCUCUAUUAAAUGUCUCUUUGUAACUUUGUUUCUAAGGUGAUUCAUUGUAAUCUGAAAGAGGUGUGAGGAUGAGCGGUUGUAACCCUAUUCUCCAUUGAUAGUGAAGCAGGUCUCAUUCACCAUGGAUGCGGCAACCUUGCAGAACCACGUAAAUCUUGCGUUGUGUGAUUGUUGUUUGCGAUUUCCAUUCUUUUCUUGCAUUUUUUUAGGUUUCAGUUUCUAAAAGCACUACAUUUAAUGUUUUAGAUGCUAUUGUCUGGGUUACUAAUCCCAAACUUGACCAUUUGGUGGCUGGGAAGACUUAAGGUUAUAUUGGUUGAAUGAUCCUGCCAAUCAUGAUCCAAUACUGGAUACGUACAAUUUGGUUGAUGGCGGAUGAUGCAGAUAAUUUGGCUUAUACAUGUGCUGGGCCUUUGGUCCAGUAGGUUUUCUUUGUAAUAUGCCACUUUAAUGAGUCUAAAAUAUGGGUAGAAGGUUAUGGGAUUUACUUUAUUAGUUUAGUUUGAGUCUUUUAUUUCUUGUUUUAAUUCAUAAAGGUUGAGUUAGAUCUCUGAUAGUCCAUCCUUGUUUUGAGCUGUUUUCGUUUAUUUUAGGCUAAGUUAUAGUAGUAGUAGACUUCCUUCAGGGAAAGCUAUUGGCUAGAGGGGUUUUAGCCUAUUCUUGUUUAGAGUUUAUAUAUAUAUAUAUAUAUAUAUAUAUUUAAGGGUUAUGCCUUGUACACAAUUUUGGUAAUAAGAAGAAACUUUUCAGGCCAACAGUCUGUGGAUUUCAGACCUUUGCUUGGGUGGAUUUUCAAGUGACUUUGUGGAUUCUUAAUGCUUUGUUGUUGUGGAUUCAGCAAGGGUUUUUGGUGGAUUCAGGUUCCCAACAGGUGGAUUCCCAGUUAUCUUUAUUCAUCUAUAUUCCUCCGUCAAAAUCAGGAUAGUGUCCGACUUUCUCUUCAUAUGCAUGUUUUGGUUUACUGAUUCAAGUUGGUUUGCUUAAAUAUUCUGUUAUUCUAUCAUCACACUGAAUUCUUUUGAAGGUUUUGUUGUUAUUUGAUCUUACAAAUCUUUCUUGGUUUAAGAGAAAUCCUUUUUCAACUAGGGUUUUCUGAUUUUCUAAGUUCUGAAACAGAUUUUCAUAAUCUGUGGAUCGGUUUCUUGUCUGAAUUCUACUGGUUUCAAAACCAGAUCUUUCUAUUGAUUUCUUAGUGUCCUAAUUCAUGUCUGAGUUCAGUCAACCUGACUUUCAAGUUCUGUUUUCAAUCUUUGAUUUGAGAUUUCAAACCUAUAAUUUUGAUAUUCUGUCUAUUCUGACCAUUAUAUUGAGACUGCUAAAUCACCAUUGAUUUUUAGAUCUGGGAAUUUUUCUUUGAGUAGAAAUCUUCGUAUCAUAAGAAUCUGGCCAUUGGAUCAAACCAGAUUUUUGAUUGUAUGUCCUCUCAUCCAAUUAGAGCCUUCAAUCAGAAUUUUGGCUGAAUCACAUCGAUUCUCUGUUACUAAAAUUCUUGUGAAAUUUAGUUUCUAAACCUGCAACUGCGAUUCUGGUUUCAUUGGAUUGGAUUUCUGAACCUAGUGACCUUAGGCUUCUGGAAUCCCAUUAGUGAGGAUUACAGCUGAUGCAUAAGACAAUAAAGAUUAUGCUGCUGACACCUGAUAAGCUGAUGGAGAAUUCCAUUUACUGUCCAUGGGAGGAACAAAUGCAUAUUGUAGCAUUUAUACCAAUAUCAUCAUCAUUCAUGUGUAUUAAUGUAGGUACUAUUCCCAUAAUAAUAUAAUAAUGCGUCUUAUCUAGAGGAUAGUAAGAUUUGGAUCUUUGAAUAUGUAUUGAUUGAUCCUUCACUAUGAAAAAUCUGUCCUUUUUCAGUUUCUCAUGUUCAAAAUUUCCAAUGGUUCAUGUUGCCGUGAAAUUGUGUAGGGUUGUGUAUAUACUGACACAUCCAGGAGUACCCACUGUCUUCUAUGACCACUUUUAUGAUUGGGGUGACGCUAUACAACCAAAUCCUGAAGCUGAUGUUCGAAGAGAUAUCGAGACAUUCAUAGCCAAUCUGCUGUAAGGAUUCCGGAGGCCUAACCCAUUCUCGUCUCGGCCAUCAUUGAUGAGGAAGCGUGCAUGAAGAGAUGUAAUGGAUGUUGGUGCUAAGUGGGUAGAGAGUGGAUACUAGCAAUCACUGGUCAUAAAUAUGCAGCCUGGUAGAAAUGUUGUUCCUUAAUUCCUCCAUAGAGUUAGUAAUAGUAAUCUUUGUACUAAUUAGGCUGUGCUUCCAGUUCCGGAUGUAUUACUGGAUAUUAUUACUGUAUUACUAUGGGCUUAUGGUGUGAAAUGUUCUAUUACCAUGAGAAAAAUAUGGUAGGAUAUUGUUUUUUGGUGGAUACUCUUUGAAGACUUUGAUUGGAAUAGUGUUGAAUGAAUGUCAAUAUAUUUUGGUUUUGCUUCAAA